GCGAGGGGUGGGACCGCAGGGCCGGAGUAAAAGGGUGCUUGGCUGUGACAGGUGCUAAGGGCCUGGGCGUCAGCUCCUUGCGGGAGCGUCACUGCCGACCGGGAAGGGAAAGGCAAUCUUGGGGGCCUCCGGAGUCCGGAGGAUCACUCUGAUGGGUGAUGUCUCCUGGCCUCAGUGAUGGAAUUAAGAUGACUUCUAUCUCUGAAUCCAAGGGUGACUGAAAGCCGCAAGCUGCAGAAAGGACAAGAGGCAUCACCUAUGUGGAUAAAGACAGCAUCCUGAGUUGAUGGAGAAAUGGCAUAGAAGGAACCAGGUCCUUUGAUGACAUCAUGGAGCAAAGCUGUCUUCUUGCCUUGACCUGCUACCUACCUACAUGGGAAGCUGUUACUUGAGAAGGCAAUAAAAUCUAUCUUCUUUAUUGA
This 422-nucleotide long non-coding RNA is filed under the name Homo sapiens (human). Its description in RNAcentral is "HSALNT0398887". Lineage: Eukaryota; Metazoa; Chordata; Mammalia; Primates; Hominidae. The record is from RNAcentral.